GCUGGCGGCAGGCCUAACACAUGCAAGUCGAGCGGUAGCACAGAGAGCUUGCUCUCGGGUGACGAGCGGCGGACGGGUGAGUAAUGUCUGGGAAACUGCCUGAUGGAGGGGGAUAACUACUGGAAACGGUAGCUAAUACCGCAUAAUGUCGCAAGACCAAAGUGGGGGACCUUCGGGCCUCAUGCCAUCAGAUGUGCCCAGAUGGGAUUAGCUAGUAGGUGGGGUAACGGCUCACCUAGGCGACGAUCCCUAGCUGGUCUGAGAGGAUGACCAGCCACACUGGAACUGAGACACGGUCCAGACUCCUACGGGAGGCAGCAGUGGGGAAUAUUGCACAAUGGGCGCAAGCCUGAUGCAGCCAUGCCGCGUGUGUGAAGAAGGCCUUCGGGUUGUAAAGCACUUUCAGCGGGGAGGAAGGCGGUAAGGUUAAUAACCUCAUCGAUUGACGUUACCCGCAGAAGAAGCACCGGCUAACUCCGUGCCAGCAGCCGCGGUAAUACGGAGGGUGCAAGCGUUAAUCGGAAUUACUGGGCGUAAAGCGCACGCAGGCGGUCUGUCAAGUCGGAUGUGAAAUCCCCGGGCUCAACCUGGGAACUGCAUUCGAAACUGGCAGGCUAGAGUCUUGUAGAGGGGGGUAGAAUUCCAGGUGUAGCGGUGAAAUGCGUAGAGAUCUGGAGGAAUACCGGUGGCGAAGGCGGCCCCCUGGACAAAGACUGACGCUCAGGUGCGAAAGCGUGGGGAGCAAACAGGAUUAGAUACCCUGGUAGUCCACGCCGUAAACGAUGUCGAUUUGGAGGUUGUGCCCUUGAGGCGUGGCUUCCGGAGCUAACGCGUUAAAUCGACCGCCUGGGGAGUACGGCCGCAAGGUUAAAACUCAAAUGAAUUGACGGGGGCCCGCACAAGCGGUGGAGCAUGUGGUUUAAUUCGAUGCAACGCGAAGAACCUUACCUGGUCUUGACAUCCACAGAACUUUCCAGAGAUGGAUUGGUGCCUUCGGGAACUGUGAGACAGGUGCUGCAUGGCUGUCGUCAGCUCGUGUUGUGAAAUGUUGGGUUAAGUCCCGCAACGAGCGCAACCCUUAUCCUUUGUUGCCAGCGGUCCGGCCGGGAACUCAAAGGAGACUGCCAGUGAUAAACUGGAGGAAGGUGGGGAUGACGUCAAGUCAUCAUGGCCCUUACGACCAGGGCUACACACGUGCUACAAUGGCAUAUACAAAGAGAAGCGACCUCGCGAGAGCAAGCGGACCUCAUAAAGUAUGUCGUAGUCCGGAUUGGAGUCUGCAACUCGACUCCAUGAAGUCGGAAUCGCUAGUAAUCGUAGAUCAGAAUGCUACGGUGAAUACGUUCCCGGGCCUUGUACACACCGCCCGUCACACCAUGGGAGUGGGUUGCAAAAGAAGUAGGUAGCUUAACCUUCGGGAGGGCGCUUACCACUUUGUGAUUCAUGACUGGGGUGAAGUCGUAACAAGGUAACCGUAGGGGAACCUGCGGCUGGA
Molecule: ribosomal RNA, 1495 nt
Filed under: Klebsiella sp. ok1_1_9_S9
Lineage: Bacteria; Pseudomonadati; Pseudomonadota; Gammaproteobacteria; Enterobacterales; Enterobacteriaceae
Description: bacterial SSU rRNA
Rfam family: Bacterial small subunit ribosomal RNA
Source: RNAcentral